RNAcentral lists this ribosomal RNA (480 nucleotides) under uncultured bacterium. Its description in RNAcentral is "bacterial SSU rRNA". It matches the Rfam family "Bacterial small subunit ribosomal RNA", at positions 30 to 502 of the family's 1533-position model. The record is from RNAcentral.
AUUGAACGCUGGCGGCAUGCCUUACACAUGCAAGUCGAACGGCAGCACGGGAGCAAUCCUGGUGGCGAGUGGCGAACGGGUGAGUAAUAUAUCGGAACGUGCCCAGUCGUGGGGGAUAACGUAGCGAAAGCUACGCUAAUACCGCAUACGAUCUAUGGAUGAAAGCGGGGGAUCGCAAGACCUCGCGCGAUUGGAGCGGCCGAUAUCAGAUUAGCUAGUUGGUGGGGUAAAAGCUCACCAAGGCGACGAUCUGUAGCUGGUCUGAGAGGACGACCAGCCACACUGGAACUGAGACACGGUCCAGACUCCUACGGGAGGCAGCAGUGGGGAAUUUUGGACAAUGGGCGCAAGCCUGAUCCAGCAAUGCCGCGUGCAGGAUGAAGGCCUUCGGUUGUAAACUGCUUUUGUACGGAACGAAACGGUGAGCUCUAAUAAAGCUUGCUAACUGACGGUACCGUAAGAAUAAAGCACCGGCUAACU